UACGGAGGGUGCAAGCGUUAUCCGGAUUCACUGGGUUUAAAGGGUGCGUAGGCGGACAGGUAAGUCAGUGGUGAAAUCUCCGAGCUUAACUCGGAAACUGCCUUUGAUACUCUCUGUCUUGAAUAUUGUGGAGGUGAGCGGAAUAUGUCAUGUAGCGGUGAAAUGCUUAGAUAUGACAUAGAACACCAAUUGCGAAGGCAGCUCGCUACACAUAUAUUGACUCUGAGGCACGAAAGCGUGGGGAUCAAACAGG
RNAcentral lists this ribosomal RNA (253 nucleotides) under uncultured bacterium. RNAcentral's name for it is "partial 16S ribosomal RNA". It matches the Rfam family "Bacterial small subunit ribosomal RNA", at positions 524 to 776 of the family's 1533-position model. The record is from RNAcentral.